RNAcentral lists this ribosomal RNA (253 nucleotides) under uncultured bacterium. RNAcentral describes it as "partial 16S ribosomal RNA". It matches the Rfam family "Bacterial small subunit ribosomal RNA", at positions 524 to 776 of the family's 1533-position model. The record is from RNAcentral.
UACAGAGGGGGCAAGCGUUGUUCGGAAUUACUGGGCGUAAAGGGCGCGUGGGCGGCCUGCUAAGUCGAACGUGAAAUCCCUGGGCUCAACCCAGGAACUGCGUCCGAUACUGGUUGGCUUGAAUCCGGGAGAGGGAUGUGGAAUUCCAGGUGUAGCGGUGAAAUGCGUAGAUAUCUGGAGGAACACCGGUGGCGAAGGCGACAUCCUGGACCGGUAUUGACGCUGAGGCGCGAAAGCCAGGGGAGCAAACGGG